GAUGAACGCUAGCUACAGGCUUAACACAUGCAAGUCGAGGGGAAACGAUAUUGGAAGCUUGCUUCCGAUAGGCGUCGACCGGCGCACGGGUGAGUAACGCGUAUCCAACCUGCCCACCACUUGGGGAUAACCUUGCGAAAGUAAGGCUAAUACCCAAUGAUAUCUCUAGAAGACAUCUGAAGGAGAUUAAAGAUUCAUCGGCGAUGGAUGGGGAUGCGUCUGAUUAGCUUGUUGGCGGGGUAACGGCCCACCAAGGCGACGAUCAGUAGGGGUUCUGAGAGGAAGGUCCCCCACAUUGGAACUGAGACACGGUCCAAACUCCUACGGGAGGCAGCAGUGAGGAAUAUUGGUCAAUGGGCGAGAGCCUGAACCAGCCAAGUAGCGUGCAGGAUGACGGCCCUAUGGGUUGUAAACUGCUUUUAUAAGGGAAUAAAGUGAGUCUCGUGAGACUUUUUGCAUGUACCUUAUGAAUAAGGACCGGCUAAUUCCGUGCCAGCCGCCGCGGUAA
Molecule: ribosomal RNA, 508 nt
Filed under: uncultured bacterium
Lineage: Bacteria
Description: partial 16S ribosomal RNA
Rfam family: Bacterial small subunit ribosomal RNA
Source: RNAcentral